Callorhinus ursinus (northern fur seal) is the source of this 1823-nucleotide long non-coding RNA. RefSeq lists it as uncharacterized. The record is from RefSeq and is a predicted model, not a curated record. Lineage: Eukaryota; Metazoa; Chordata; Mammalia; Carnivora; Otariidae.
GCCUCUCCAGUUUGAUGGCAAGUUCUCUGAGGCGGGGAAGGAGGAAUUUGACCCUGCAUAUCCCCAUAGCACCUAGCCCACUGCGAUGGGCAAAUCAAACUUCCAGAUCAAAAGAAAUGCUAUUCUUUUAUUUUUGCCAAAACAGCAUAACAGGCAAGGUUUGCCUCAUUUUUAGCCCUCUGUUAACUGAGACUGCAGGCCAGCUGAAAGGCAGACUUUCUCGCUCAUCCUAGUCGGAGGUUUUGUGGAAAGGAAUAAAUAUAUGGACUCUUCAACAAGAGGACAAAUACAGACAAUGAGAGGCACGUACAUGGCCCCAUGAACAAGCAUCGAUUUAAGCAUUCAACAAGUAUCAGUUCACCUGAACUUCAUAUCGACCCAAGGAAGGAGGUGGUGUUAUCAUCCUCACUUCACACACGAGGACAGAGGCCGAGUAGGGAAACUUGAAAAAGAAGUAUGGCAGUACGGGAGCCAAGUAAAUAGCAUCUUCCUGGAAGUGCAGGGAGACAACUCUUACCAGUCCACCCUGGAGAACCCGCUAAAUGGCGCUACCCAUGCUCCGUGGAGAUACCAGGUUCAAAUCUCUGGACAACCUAGAGAGUUGGCUGCAGAACCUGACGAGAAGCCAUGAGAGGAGUCUACUCCUUGGGUGAGGCCAUUAGGCCAACUGCGCCAUAUUCACCUGCUCAACAAUUUCCUGAGCGCCAAGAGCCCAGGUACAGAGGGCAAGUAAAGAAUGAUUCGGUAAGACUGUCCUCCAGGACUUUUUAUGAUCUAGCGAAGGAAUAAAAAAGACCUCAGCCCAAGGGAAAGCACAAAUAAACUAUAUGACAAUGUUAAAAACAGCAACGACUCCCAGGAAGGGUCUAAUUGGUCCAGACUGUUAUCAUUGAAAAGCAAUGCCCCCAAUGGGCAGAGUCCUUGUUUCAGAUCGCCUUCCAGGCUGUCCUAUCUACGUGUGAGCAAGUCCGUCGUCAUUUUGUUAAAUCAGGUACCUCAAUCCAACAUGGGUUAUGGAUGUGCCUGGAGGCCCACAAGACACAAUGCCAGGAGCUCAUCACCCUCUGCAGAAAGGAUCUGCGGUGUGGUGGGCACGCAGGGCUUUAUACACAGCCCUGUACCGUGGCCCCAGGCAGAGAAAGCUAAUAGGAGAAGAGGGACACCAGGAGGUGCUAAGGAGGAGAGAGACAGCUCUAAGGGAAGGAGAAGAAUAUUCUCUACAGGCGGAGAAACUUGGCCAAACCUUGGAUGGGGCCUUGAAAGAUGAGAGGAUUUGGAUCUGGGAAGGGAUGGUGGUCACUCCAGACAGAUUGGCUGCCAGGGACUCUGGAGGGGCAGGGCUAAUGCAUGCAUAUCUUGCCUGGCUCAGGAAUGCAAUCUUGGACAUUGAAGGUCCCUGGGGAGUGAUGUCCCUAGCAUUAUACUCUGUCACUUCCCAUUGUCCUACAAUCCAGCCAGCUCCCAUUCCUUCCCAUUCCCUUCACAGUGACCCUUCCAGGCUAGGAUGUUGGUGACACCUUUUUCCAGGUCCCAGGGCUUCCUGGCAAGCUGAAUUGCCAGCUGGCUUUUGCCCGUUUCCCUUAACCUGCCCUGAUGGCGUUGGGAGCUGGUGCUUUCACUCCCACACCUCUUGUCAGCCAUUGUGUGGCAACAGUAGAAAGAGAGCCAGAUGAGAUAGAACAGACUCUGUGAUGGAACAUACACAGAGGACACACUGGCUGGGAACAUUUGCAUAAGGUACACUAAUAGUCCCUGACCCAGAAGAUACCCUGAAGUGUGUCACACCAGCUUGCACUGGCCAAGACUAGGCAAUAGUACCCAGA